Molecule: ribosomal RNA, 468 nt
Filed under: uncultured bacterium
Lineage: Bacteria
Description: partial 16S ribosomal RNA
Rfam family: Bacterial small subunit ribosomal RNA
Source: RNAcentral
GACGAACGCUGGCGGCGUGCUUAACACAUGCCAGUCGAACGGAAAGGCCCUGCUUUUGUGGGGUGCUCGAGUGGCGAACGGGUGAGUAACACGUGAGUAACCUGCCCUUGACUUUGGGAUAACUUCAGGAAACUGGGGCUAAUACCGGAUAGGAGCUCCUGCUGCAUGGUGGGGGUUGGAAAGUUUCGGCGGUUGGGGAUGGACUCGCGGCUUAUCAGCUUGUUGGUGGGGUAGUGGCUUACCAAGGCUUUGACGGGUAGCCGGCCUGAGAGGGUGACCGGCCACAUUGGGACUGAGAUACGGCCCAGACUCCUACGGGAGGCAGCAGUGGGGAAUAUUGCACAAUGGGGGGAAGCCUGAUGCAGCAACGCCGCGUGCGGGAUGACGGCCUUCGGGUUGUAAACCGCUUUCGCCUGUGACGAAGCGUGAGUGACGGUAAUGGGUAAAGAAGCACCGGCUAACUACGUG